UGGAUGACCAGAUGAAUUGGUGUGAC
RNAcentral lists this non-coding RNA (26 nucleotides) under Homo sapiens (human). Lineage: Eukaryota; Metazoa; Chordata; Mammalia; Primates; Hominidae. The record is from RNAcentral.